This 940-nucleotide long non-coding RNA is filed under the name Homo sapiens (human). RNAcentral describes it as "PREDICTED lncRNA (TCONS_00246259)". Lineage: Eukaryota; Metazoa; Chordata; Mammalia; Primates; Hominidae. The record is from RNAcentral.
CUUAACUACCUGGGAAUGUAGCCCAUUAGGUCUCAGCCUUAUUUUACCCAGUCACUAUUCAAGAUGGAGUCACUCUAGUUUGAAUGCCUCUGACAGUAAUGAAGAAGUAAACUCCGAGACAGCACAUGACUUCCCUCUGAUGACGUAAGGUUGCUGGGAGGACCAGCUCACUGACAGAUUAAAGUUACCAAGUUGAAGUGAUGAGCUUGAAUCCUUCUGCAGUCACACGUUUGGCCUAGCAGAGGUUGAAAUUUUUAAAAAAUGAAAUAGAACCACAAAGAAAAUAUCAGAACACAUUGCACUUAGUAAAGAACAAGGGGGAGUCUCCCUGCACAAGCUCUCUCUCUUUGCCUGCUGUCAUCCACCUAAGAUGUAACUUGCUCCUCCUUGCCUUCCACCAUGAUUGUGAGGCUUCCCCAGCCACGUGGAACUGCUUCUUCUCUGGUUUCCUGUUCUGACCUCCUCUCAACCAUGAAUGCCUAUACUGUGUUGGUGGCCCUGAUGAAGAAAUGUGCUUCUUCAUUUAGACCCAGGAUGGCUGACGGUUUUCUGAUUGAUUCGUAGCAAAACCUGGAAAGCUAGAUUGAGCGAUUUAAAGCCCAGGCCAAGUGCAGCAGCUUGCUUGAGUCCUGGUGGAAAAGGCCUUGUAUGGAAGCCCCAGGGACAACUUCCACCACUGAGGAAUUUUCAGUCUUCUGCAUCUGUCAAUCAACUGAACCAUUUAUAGCUGGUGUCUUCUUUUCUCGUGCCCAUAAGCCCUGUCACUGUUGAGCUGGGCCCACCUUAAGACUGAUGUCCUUUGCAAUUUCUGGGACUACUGCAAGUGCUCCUAACUGUCCUCCCUGCCUCCAGCCUUCCAACCUGCAGCCACUCGAGUUGCCUUCCUACACGUCAGAGCCGACCAUGCCAUUCUCCUGCUUAAAAACCCAUCUCACUGGCU